This 761-nucleotide ribosomal RNA is filed under the name uncultured Peptostreptococcus sp. RNAcentral's name for it is "bacterial SSU rRNA". It matches the Rfam family "Bacterial small subunit ribosomal RNA", at positions 28 to 776 of the family's 1533-position model. The record is from RNAcentral. Lineage: Bacteria; Bacillati; Bacillota; Clostridia; Peptostreptococcales; Peptostreptococcaceae.
GAUGAACGCUGGCGGCGUGCCUAACACAUGCAAGUCGAGCGAGGGUUUGCUCAGUAUUGAGUAUUCUAAGACUAGAAUGUUCAAUUCUGAGCAAAACCAAGCGGCGGACGGGUGAGUAACGCGUGGGUAACCUGCCCUAUACACAUGGAUAACAUACUGAAAAGUUUACUAAUACAUGAUAAUAUAUAUUUGCGGCAUCGCAGAUAUAUCAAAGUGUUAGCGGUAUAGGAUGGACCCGCGUCUGAUUAGCUAGUUGGUGAGAUAACUGCCCACCAAGGCGACGAUCAGUAGCCGACCUGAGAGGGUGAUCGGCCACAUUGGAACUGAGACACGGUCCAAACUCCUACGGGAGGCAGCAGUGGGGAAUAUUGCACAAUGGGCGAAAGCCUGAUGCAGCAACGCCGCGUGAACGAUGAAGGUCUUCGGAUCGUAAAGUUCUGUUGCAGGGGAAGAUAAUGACGGUACCCUGUGAGGAAGCCCCGGCUAACUACGUGCCAGCAGCCGCGGUAAUACGUAGGGGGCUAGCGUUAUCCGGAUUUACUGGGCGUAAAGGGUGCGUAGGUGGUCCUUCAAGUCGGUGGUUAAAGGCUACGGCUCAACCGUAGUAAGCCGCCGAAACUGGAGGACUUGAGUGCAGGAGAGGAAAGUGGAAUUCCCAGUGUAGCGGUGAAAUGCGUAGAUAUUGGGAGGAACACCAGUAGCGAAGGCGGCUUUCUGGAGUGCUGCUGACACUGAGGCACGAAAGCGUGGGUGCAAACAUG